This 444-nucleotide ribosomal RNA is filed under the name uncultured bacterium. RNAcentral describes it as "bacterial SSU rRNA". It matches the Rfam family "Bacterial small subunit ribosomal RNA", at positions 331 to 792 of the family's 1533-position model. The record is from RNAcentral.
CCAGACUCCUACGGGAGGCAGCAGUGGGGAAUAUUGCACAAUGGGCGAAAGCCUGAUGCAGCGACGCCGCGUGAGUGAAGAAGUAUUUCGGUAUGUAAAGCUCUAUCAGCAGGGAAGAAAAUGACGGUACCUGACUAAGAAGCCCCGGCUAACUACGUGCCAGCAGCCGCGGUAAUACGUAGGGGGCAAGCGUUAUCCGGAUUUACUGGGUGUAAAGGGAGCGUAGACGGCAAUGCAAGUCUGGAGUGAAAGCCCAAGGCCCAACCAUGGGACUGCUCUGGAAACUGUGUAGCUUGAGUGCAGGAGGGGUAAGCGGAAUUCCUAGUGUAGCGGUGAAAUGCGUAGAUAUUAGGAAGAACACCAGUGGCGAAGGCGGCUUUCUGGACUGAAACUGACGCUGAGGCACGAAAGCGUGGGGAGCGAACAGGAUUAGAUACCCGAGUA